UACGAAGGGGGCAAGCGUUGUUCGGAAUCACUGGGCGUAAAGCGCACGCAGGCGGAUUGAUAAGUCAGGGGUGAAAUCCCGGAGCUCAACUUCGGAAUUGCCUUUGAUACUGUCUAUCUUCGAGUUCGGGAGAGGUUGGCGGAAUUCCUAGUGUAGAGGUGAAAUUCGUAGAUAUUAGGAAGAACACCAGUGGCGAAGGCGGCCAACUGGCCCGAUACUGACGCUCAUGUGCGAAAGCGUGGGGAGCAAACAGG
This 254-nucleotide ribosomal RNA is filed under the name uncultured bacterium. Its description in RNAcentral is "partial 16S ribosomal RNA". It matches the Rfam family "Bacterial small subunit ribosomal RNA", at positions 524 to 776 of the family's 1533-position model. The record is from RNAcentral.